UGAUGAUGGUUAGGACAACUAAUAAUUAUAGAUUUAAACCUGUCCCAGGCUUGGUACAAAUUCUCUCCAGCUUUCUGUUUAAAAUUCAAAAUUUCAAUUCUUAGCUU
Small nucleolar RNA from Solanum dulcamara, 107 nucleotides. The record is from RefSeq and is a predicted model, not a curated record. Lineage: Eukaryota; Viridiplantae; Streptophyta; Magnoliopsida; Solanales; Solanaceae.